Molecule: ribosomal RNA, 257 nt
Filed under: uncultured bacterium
Lineage: Bacteria
Description: partial 16S ribosomal RNA
Rfam family: Bacterial small subunit ribosomal RNA
Source: RNAcentral
CGAAGGGCGUAGCGUUGUUCGGAAUUACUGGGCGUAAAGGGACGCGUAGGCGGCUUUUCUAAGUCAGGCGUGAAAUACCCCGGGCCGUUAACCUGGGAACUGCGCUUGAGACUGGAAGGCUUGAGUUCGGGAGAGGUGAGUGGAAUUCCCAGUGUAGAGGUGAAAUUCGUAGAUAUUGGGAAGAACACCAGCGGCGAAGGCGGCUCACUGGACCGAUACUGACGCUGAGGCGCGAAAGCGUGGGAGCAAACAGGAUU